ACAAUGAAGAGUUUGAUCCUGGCUCAGGAUGAACGCUAGCUACAGGCUUAACACAUGCAAGUCGAGGGGCAGCAUGGUCUUAGCUUGCUAAGGCCGAUGGCGACCGGCGCACGGGUGAGUAACACGUAUCCAACCUGCCGUCUACUCUUGGACAGCCUUCUGAAAGGAAGAUUAAUACAAGAUGGCAUCAUGAGUCCGCAUGUUCACAUGAUUAAAGGUAUUCCGGUAGACGAUGGGGAUGCGUUCCAUUAGAUAGUAGGCGGGGUAACGGCCCACCUAGUCUUCGAUGGAUAGGGGUUCUGAGAGGAAGGUCCCCCACAUUGGAACUGAGACACGGUCCAAACUCCUACGGGAGGCAGCAGUGAGGAAUAUUGGUCAAUGGGCGAGAGCCUGAACCAGCCAAGUAGCGUGAAGGAUGACUGCCCUAUGGGUUGUAAACUUCUUUUAUAAAGGAAUAAAGUCGGGUAUGCAUACCCGUUUGCAUGUACUUUAUGAAUAAGGAUCGGCUAACUCCGUGCCAGCAGCCGCGGUAAUACGGAGGAUCCGAGCGUUAUCCGGAUUUAUUGGGUUUAAAGGGAGCGUAGAUGGAUGUUUAAGUCAGUUGUGAAAGUUUGCGGCUCAACCGUAAAAUUGCAGUUGAUACUGGAUAUCUUGAGUGCAGUUGAGGCAGGCGGAAUUCGUGGUGUAGCGGUGAAAUGCUUAGAUAUCACGAAGAACUCCGAUUGCGAAGGCAGCCUGCUAAGCUGCAACUGACAUUGAGGCUCGAAAGUGUGGGUAUCAAACAGGAUUAGAUACCCUGGUAGUCCACACGGUAAACGAUGAAUACUCGCUGUUUGCGAUAUACAGCAAGCGGCCAAGCGAAAGCGUUAAGUAUUCCACCUGGGGAGUACGCCGGCAACGGUGAAACUCAAAGGAAUUGACGGGGGCCCGCACAAGCGGAGGAACAUGUGGUUUAAUUCGAUGAUACGCGAGGAACCUUACCCGGGCUUAAAUUGCAGAUGAAUUACGGUGAAAGCCGUAAGCCGCAAGGCAUCUGUGAAGGUGCUGCAUGGUUGUCGUCAGCUCGUGCCGUGAGGUGUCGGCUUAAGUGCCAUAACGAGCGCAACCCUUGUUGUCAGUUACUAACAGGUUCCGCUGAGGACUCUGACAAGACUGCCAUCGUAAGAUGUGAGGAAGGUGGGGAUGACGUCAAAUCAGCACGGCCCUUACGUCCGGGGCUACACACGUGUUACAAUGGGGGGUACAGAGGGCCGCUACCACGCGAGUGGAUGCCAAUCCCCAAAACCUCUCUCAGUUCGGACUGGAGUCUGCAACCCGACUCCACGAAGCUGGAUUCGCUAGUAAUCGCGCAUCAGCCACGGCGCGGUGAAUACGUUCCCGGGCCUUGUACACACCGCCCGUCAAGCCAUGGGAGCCGGGGGUACCUGAAGUGCGUAACCGCGAGGAGCGCCCUAGGGUAAAACUGGUGACUGGGGCUAAGUCGUAACAAGGUAGCCGUACCGGAAGGUGCGGCUGGAACACCUCCUUU
RNAcentral lists this ribosomal RNA (1528 nucleotides) under Phocaeicola vulgatus. RNAcentral's name for it is "bacterial SSU rRNA". It matches the Rfam family "Bacterial small subunit ribosomal RNA". The record is from RNAcentral. Lineage: Bacteria; Pseudomonadati; Bacteroidota; Bacteroidia; Bacteroidales; Bacteroidaceae.